AUGUUUUUCAUGUUGGCUCUAACAAGAGAAAGCAUGACGGGCAAGGUUUCCCUAAGCCUCAGAAAAAGCAAGUCAAGAAAGAAAGCACUAAGCCAUUCAACCCUAAGGCAUUCAAAGGUAAAGAAGCCAGCAGUUCUUCUUCUGCUCCUAGUAGCUCCAUUGCUGGAGAAAAUGCUUGUAACUUCUGCAAAGAGGAGGGACACUAUCAAAGGGACUGCCCAGGCUUUCUAA
Molecule: ribosomal RNA, 231 nt
Filed under: Triticum aestivum (bread wheat)
Lineage: Eukaryota; Viridiplantae; Streptophyta; Magnoliopsida; Poales; Poaceae
Description: partial small subunit ribosomal RNA
Source: RNAcentral